RNAcentral lists this ribosomal RNA (1406 nucleotides) under Klebsiella pneumoniae. Its description in RNAcentral is "bacterial SSU rRNA". It matches the Rfam family "Bacterial small subunit ribosomal RNA". The record is from RNAcentral. Lineage: Bacteria; Pseudomonadati; Pseudomonadota; Gammaproteobacteria; Enterobacterales; Enterobacteriaceae.
UGCAAGUCGAGCGGUAGCACAGAGAGCUUGCUCUCGGGUGACGAGCGGCGGACGGGUGAGUAAUGUCUGGGAAACUGCCUGAUGGAGGGGGAUAACUACUGGAAACGGUAGCUAAUACCGCAUAACGUCGCAAGACCAAAGUGGGGGACCUUCGGGCCUCAUGCCAUCAGAUGUGCCCAGAUGGGAUUAGCUAGUAGGUGGGGUAACGGCUCACCUAGGCGACGAUCCCUAGCUGGUCUGAGAGGAUGACCAGCCACACUGGAACUGAGACACGGUCCAGACUCCUACGGGAGGCAGCAGUGGGGAAUAUUGCACAAUGGGCGCAAGCCUGAUGCAGCCAUGCCGCGUGUGUGAAGAAGGCCUUCGGGUUGUAAAGCACUUUCAGCGGGGAGGAAGGCGAUAAGGUUAAUAACCUUGUCGAUUGACGUUACCCGCAGAAGAAGCACCGGCUAACUCCGUGCCAGCAGCCGCGGUAAUACGGAGGGUGCAAGCGUUAAUCGGAAUUACUGGGCGUAAAGCGCACGCAGGCGGUCUGUCAAGUCGGAUGUGAAAUCCCCGGGCUCAACCUGGGAACUGCAUUCGAAACUGGCAGGCUAGAGUCUUGUAGAGGGGGGUAGAAUUCCAGGUGUAGCGGUGAAAUGCGUAGAGAUCUGGAGGAAUACCGGUGGCGAAGGCGGCCCCCUGGACAAAGACUGACGCUCAGGUGCGAAAGCGUGGGGAGCAAACAGGAUUAGAUACCCUGGUAGUCCACGCCGUAAACGAUGUCGAUUUGGAGGUUGUGCCCUUGAGGCGUGGCUUCCGGAGCUAACGCGUUAAAUCGACCGCCUGGGGAGUACGGCCGCAAGGUUAAAACUCAAAUGAAUUGACGGGGGCCCGCACAAGCGGUGGAGCAUGUGGUUUAAUUCGAUGCAACGCGAAGAACCUUACCUGGUCUUGACAUCCACAGAACUUAGCAGAGAUGCUUUGGUGCCUUCGGGAACUGUGAGACAGGUGCUGCAUGGCUGUCGUCAGCUCGUGUUGUGAAAUGUUGGGUUAAGUCCCGCAACGAGCGCAACCCUUAUCCUUUGUUGCCAGCGGUUCGGCCGGGAACUCAAAGGAGACUGCCAGUGAUAAACUGGAGGAAGGUGGGGAUGACGUCAAGUCAUCAUGGCCCUUACGACCAGGGCUACACACGUGCUACAAUGGCAUAUACAAAGAGAAGCGACCUCGCGAGAGCAAGCGGACCUCAUAAAGUAUGUCGUAGUCCGGAUUGGAGUCUGCAACUCGACUCCAUGAAGUCGGAAUCGCUAGUAAUCGUAGAUCAGAAUGCUACGGUGAAUACGUUCCCGGGCCUUGUACACACCGCCCGUCACACCAUGGGAGUGGGUUGCAAAAGAAGUAGGUAGCUUAACCUUCGGGAGGGCGCU